UAAAGAAAGCGUAAUAGCUCACUGGUCGAGUCGGCCUGCGCGGAAGAUGUAACGGGGCUAAACCAUGCACCGAAGCUGCGGCAGCGACACUGUGUGUUGUUGGGUAGGGGAGCGUUCUGUAAGCCUGUGAAGGUGGCCUGUGAGGGUUGCUGGAGGUAUCAGAAGUGCGAAUGCUGACAUAAGUAACGAUAAAGCGGGUGAAAAGCCCGCUCGCCGGAAGACCAAGGGUUCCUGUCCAACGUUAAUCGGGGCAGG
Molecule: ribosomal RNA, 255 nt
Filed under: Salmonella enterica subsp. enterica serovar Lubbock
Lineage: Bacteria; Pseudomonadati; Pseudomonadota; Gammaproteobacteria; Enterobacterales; Enterobacteriaceae
Also listed under: 1 other name
Description: partial 23S ribosomal RNA
Rfam family: Bacterial large subunit ribosomal RNA
Source: RNAcentral